CUGGUUGAUCCUGCCGGAGGCUACUGCUAUUGGAAUCCGAUUAAGCCAUGCGAGUCUAAAGGACUUCGGUCCUUGGCGGACGGCUCAGUAACACGUGGAGAACCUGCCCUCAGGAGGGGGAUAACCCCGGGAAACUGGGAAUAAUACCCCAUAGGUCUAGGAUGCUGGAAUGCUUCUAGGCUGAAAGCUCCGGCGCCUGAGGAUGGCUCUGCGGCUUAUCAGGUUGUAGUGAGGGUAACGUCCUCACUAGCCUAUGACGGGUACGGGCCCUGAGAGGGGAAGCCCGGAGAUGGACUCUGAGACACGAGUCCAGGCCCUACGGGGCGCAGCAGGCGCGAAAACUCCGCAAUGCUCGAAAGAGUGACGGGGGGAUUCCAAGUGCCUACGCUCAGCGUAGGCUGUUCAGAUGCCUAAAAAGCAUCUGGAGUAAGGGCUGGGUAAGACGGGUGCCAUCUGCAGUGGUAGCGAAAGAUUUGGCUUGCUACUGCAAGGCAUAAGCCGCCGCGGUAAUACCCGCAGCUCGAGUGGUAGUCGAUUUUAUUGGGCCUAAAGCGUCCGUAUCCGGUCUGGUAAAUGCUUGGGUAAAUCGUCUGGCUUAACCAGACGAAUUCCGGGUAGACUACCAGACUUGGGACCGGUUGAGGAAGAGGGUACUUCAGGGGUAGGAGUGAAAUCCUGUAAUCCUUGAAGGGCCACCAGUGGCGAAGGCGCUCUUCUAGGACGGGUCCGACGGUGAGGGACGAAAGCCAGGGGAGCAAACCGGAUUAGAUACCCGGGUAGUCCUGGCCGUAAACGAUGUGGGCUUGGCAUUGGGGGUUCUACGUGAGCGCCCAGUGUCGUAGCGAAGGCGUUAAGCCCACCGCCUGGGAAGUAUGGUCGCAAGGCUGAAACUUAAAGGAAUUGGCGGGGGAGCACAGCAACGGGAGGAGCGUGCGGUUUAAUUGGAUUCAACGCCGG
Molecule: ribosomal RNA, 957 nt
Filed under: uncultured archaeon 20b-26
Lineage: Archaea
Description: bacterial SSU rRNA
Rfam family: Archaeal small subunit ribosomal RNA
Source: RNAcentral